RNAcentral lists this ribosomal RNA (253 nucleotides) under uncultured bacterium. RNAcentral's name for it is "partial 16S ribosomal RNA". It matches the Rfam family "Bacterial small subunit ribosomal RNA", at positions 524 to 776 of the family's 1533-position model. The record is from RNAcentral.
UACAGAGGGUGCAAGCGUUAAUCGGAAUUAUUGGGCGUAAAGAGCUCGUAGGCGGUUUGUCGCGUCGAAUGUGAAAUCCCGGGGCUCAACCCCGGGUCUGCAUUCGAUACGGGCAGACUAGAGUUCGGUAGGGGAGUCUGGAAUUCCUGGUGUAGCGGUGAAAUGCGCAGAUAUCAGGAGGAACACCGGUGGCGAAGGCGGGACUCUGGGCCGAUACUGACGCUGAGGAGCGAAAGCGUGGGGAGCGAACAGG